UACGUAGGUGGCGAGCGUUGUCCGGAUUUACUGGGCGUAAAGAGCGCGCAGGCGGUCGUUCAAGUCGCGUGUGAAAGCCCCCGGCUCAACUGGGGAGGGUCACGCGAUACUGAUCGACUCGAAGGCAGGAGAGGGAAGUGGAAUUCCCGGUGUAGUGGUGAAAUGCGUAGAUAUCGGGAGGAACACCAGUGGCGAAGGCGGGUCUCUGGACAGUUCCUGACGCUGAGGCACGAAGGUCAGGGGAGCAAACGGG
Molecule: ribosomal RNA, 253 nt
Filed under: uncultured bacterium
Lineage: Bacteria
Description: partial 16S ribosomal RNA
Rfam family: Bacterial small subunit ribosomal RNA
Source: RNAcentral